This 247-nucleotide ribosomal RNA is filed under the name uncultured bacterium. Its description in RNAcentral is "partial 16S ribosomal RNA". It matches the Rfam family "Bacterial small subunit ribosomal RNA", at positions 94 to 334 of the family's 1533-position model. The record is from RNAcentral.
AGCGGCGGACGGGUGAGUAACACGUGGGCAACCUGCCUGUAAGACUGGGAUAACUUCGGGAAACCGGAGCUAAUACCGGAUAAUCCUUUUCCUCUCAUGAGGGAAAGCUGAAAGAUGGCUUCGGCUAUCACUUACAGAUGGGCCCGCGGCGCAUUAGCUAGUUGGUGAGGUAACGGCUCACCAAGGCGACGAUGCGUAGCCGACCUGAGAGGGUGAUCGGCCACACUGGGACUGAGACACGGCCCAG